Long non-coding RNA from Mercurialis annua (annual mercury), 2183 nucleotides. RefSeq lists it as uncharacterized. The record is from RefSeq and is a predicted model, not a curated record. The transcript has 2 exons. NCBI's taxonomy places the organism in Eukaryota, Viridiplantae, Streptophyta, Magnoliopsida, Malpighiales, Euphorbiaceae.
CAGAGAGAUAAUUACAUCCUUCCGAUGUCGUCCAGCGGUUAGGAUAUCUGGCUUUCACCCAGGAGACCCGGGUUCGAUUCCCGGCAUCGGAACUUUUUGUAUUUUGUCGCACAAUUUGAACUUGCCAAACGACAACAACACUUCAAUACGGUGGCUGAAUUAGGUUUUGUUCAGUGGAGCUUCAUUUUUCACUUAAAUGCUAACUAAUUUCUAGGGUUUCUGUUUUUUUAUCGCUUGCAGAAAAAAAUGGUGAAAUGAAGAUUAUCAUCGUGUCCUGGAUGAGGUUAUUUUUCAAUCUCGUAAACCCUAAUACCAAUUUAUAUCGUAUUUGCUGACUUGCUUUGUUCACUGGUUGGUUCACGGAAUGAAAUAGUUAUUCUUUACUUUUUGGUAUGAGUGUUUAAUACACAAAAUCUCGGAAUAGCAAUUCCAUAGAAUAACACUAUUUCAUGAACCAAAUCAAAGAAUAAGCAUUUUAUACGGAAUAGCUAUUUCAUUCCGCAAUUAUUUUAAAUAUGGCCUGUGUUGAGCUCUGGAAUGAUGAUGCUUAGCCAAAUCAGACACGGAUGUGCUCCACAAACGGCAUUGUCUUCAAUGCUUGUGUUAUUUGGUCUCUUUUGUGACCUAGACCAAUCAUUAGAUGCCCUAGUGUUGAAGUGCAUCCUCUGGUGAUAAUUUAGAGAUAGGUUACUGCCUGACCAGAGUUAUAUGUUUAUUCGGUAAAAUACUAUGGUCGACAAAGUUUAAUUUUACUGAUUCCGUCAGUUGUUAGUAGUUAGUGUUAGAUGUUAAAUUAGAGUGAAACCACUUGGCCUGCCCUACUGAGACUCGAAACCAAGACUGAAUGUACUUGGAGAGCCUAGCCACUUGGGCUAGGCCUCACCGGCGUUGAAUUUUUACUUUGCGCAGACGUAAAUGGAAGUGUUAUUAGUGAGAUUGGUUGACAAUAUUGCCUUUUCUUGCGUUUGUAAGGGUUAAUUUAACGUUAAAAAGUAUCUUGCUUAUUAGGAUUGAGGAGGUAGAGAGUACAUUUGGACUAGUGUUCUUCAUAAUCACUUUUGUUGUGUUGCUCUACCUUCAUUGUUGUCUGGCUAUCCUCCCUUGUUUUGAAAUUGCUAAUGUGGGCUAGUUUUCCAGCUAUCUAUUGUGUUUGCUCUUAUUUUUAGAAUUAAAUGAGUGUUGUAAUUCAAUUUUAUUCCUAUUGUUUGGACUUGAUAUUCUGACAUAAGCAAGAUCUGCUCAGGUAUGGUCUUCUGCCUAUAUUAUGGUUAUUUUAAUCGAGGAGACGUGUCUUCUUCCAUUCAAGUGUUCUAAUGAUAUGAAAAGAAUACUAGGAAUCUAAUAAAUAUGUGCACAUAUCUAGUAUCGAGUUAUAUGCAUUCCUUGGGGUAACCUUAGCCAAUCCAUCUUAUUUUUUUCGGAAUGGGCCAUGAAAGGGGAAGAAGGUGCUGGUGGGAGGCAAGCAAAGGGUAUUGCGUGUGGUACGGAUGACAUGGCCAAAGGCGUAGAAGGAGGGACUGUUGGCAUUGGCAAGAGUGGUGCCAACAGAGGUACUGCCCCUGUCAUUUCUGUUGUGGAUGAGUAUAGAACAAAGUAGAAUUUUGAUUUCUAACAAAGUGAUUUAUUUCGUUACAAAUAUCUUUCCUUGUGAAUUUAAUUGCAUUGUCAAUCUUCUUCACAGUUGAUACUGUAAAACACGACACCUCAUUUGUUACCAUGGAAAGAAGCUGGGUUCUUGCGGAAUGAUGUUAACCUUUGCAUUUUCCUAAGAUAGUGUUCAAUUCUUUGUCAUUUUAUAACAAAAUGUAGCAAUGAUGGAGCAGGAAGUUUCAUGCUUUUUGUUUCUAUUUGAGCAAAUGUUCAUUCUUUGAAGGCGUGCUCGAGGUUAAUCAAAAUAUACAGCAUUCGGGACCAGAUAUGAUUGUUGAUUCCUCGGGACCAAGUUUUAGGACAUGAAAUGAAGUAGCAUCCCCCAAGAUUUUUGAACUAAUUAGAGCUGGUACGCUUGGAUUUGCAUUGCUGCAGAGGAGUGAAAAAGAGGAAUACUUGUACAAAUGAUAAUUUUUUUUAAGAUUUGGGCUUAACUGUAACACAAUCUCAAAUGUUUCUUCUAUUUAGUUAUGAAUUAAGUGCAGUAUAUUUAUGAUCUCCUUUUAAUUAUUCACUUUUGCAUUUUCUUUUAA